AUGCUGUUGCUGCUGCAGUAGCUGUGGAAGUUGCUGCUGCUGCUGUAGCUGUGGAAGUUGUUGCUGUUGCAGCUGUGGAAGCUGUUGCUGCUGUAGCUGUGGAUGCUGCUGCGGUGGCAUCUGCUGGUGAUGCUGCUGCUGCAUUUGUUGCUGCUGACUGGAUAUUUGAGGCUUAAACACAACCAUAUCCAGGUUCCCCGGAAAGAGCAUCCCUAUCAAGCGGCAGGCUUUGUCUGAAACAGAAAGCAGUAAUGUCUGUGAUGGCAAUUGGAUGACUGCACAAAGCUUCUUUUCUUGCAGUUGUCCAAGAAACCCAUGCUGAUUCAUUGCCCGAAAUACUAGAAAAUCAGCCUUUCCAACAUACUGCCUAUAUAAAUAAAAGAAUAUCAGAAUGGAUCAGAAAUACAACAAAUCUAGAUUGACACAAUUGAAUAAAGAAAUGCAAGACAGACAGGAAUACAGUGAUUACUUGUUGUUCAUGUGGUCCUGAGAUAUA
Molecule: unclassified non-coding RNA, 496 nt
Filed under: Hevea brasiliensis (rubber tree)
Lineage: Eukaryota; Viridiplantae; Streptophyta; Magnoliopsida; Malpighiales; Euphorbiaceae
Source: RNAcentral